RNAcentral lists this ribosomal RNA (785 nucleotides) under uncultured Alteromonadaceae bacterium. Its description in RNAcentral is "bacterial SSU rRNA". It matches the Rfam family "Bacterial small subunit ribosomal RNA", at positions 373 to 1153 of the family's 1533-position model. The record is from RNAcentral. Lineage: Bacteria; Pseudomonadati; Pseudomonadota; Gammaproteobacteria; Alteromonadales; Alteromonadaceae.
AGGGGGAACCUGAUGCAGCCAUGCCGCGUGUGUGAAGAAGGCCUUCGGGUUGUAAGGCACUUUCAGUUGUGAGGAAAAGUUAGUAGUUAAUACCUGCUAGCCGUGACGUUAACAACAGAAGAAGCACCGGCUAACUCCGUGCCAGCAGCCGCGGUAAUACGGAGGGUGCGAGCGUUAAUCGGAAUUACUGGGCGUAAAGCGCACGCAGGCGGUUUGUUAAGCUAGAUGUGAAAGCCCCGGGCUCAACCUGGGAUGGUCAUUUAGAACUGGCAGACUAGGGUCUUGGAGAGGGGAGUGGAAUUCCAGGUGUAGCGGUGAAAUGCGUAGAUAUCUGGAGGAACAUCAGUGGCGAAGGCGACUCCCUGGCCAAAGACUGACGCUCAUGUGCGAAAGUGUGGGUAGCGAACAGGAUUAGAUACCCUGGUAGUCCACACCGUAAACGCUGUCUACUAGCUGUUUGUGACUUUAAGUCGUGAGUAGCGAAGCUAACGCGCUAAGUAGACCGCCUGGGGAGUACGGCCGCAAGGUUAAAACUCAAAUGAAUUGACGGGGGCCCGCACAAGCGGUGGAGCAUGUGGUUUAAUUCGAUGCAACGCGAAGAACCUUACCUACACUUGACAUGCAGAGAACUUUCCAGAGAUGGAUUGGUGCCUUCGGGAACUCUGACACAGGUGCUGCAUGGCUGUCGUCAGCUCGUGUCGUGAGAUGUUGGGUUAAGUCCCGCAACGAGCGCAACCCUUGUCCUUAGUUGCCAGCAUUCAGUUGGGCACUCUAAGGAGACUGCC